This 1001-nucleotide ribosomal RNA is filed under the name Salmonella enterica subsp. enterica serovar Heidelberg. RNAcentral's name for it is "bacterial SSU rRNA". It matches the Rfam family "Bacterial small subunit ribosomal RNA", at positions 1 to 991 of the family's 1533-position model. Lineage: Bacteria; Pseudomonadati; Pseudomonadota; Gammaproteobacteria; Enterobacterales; Enterobacteriaceae. The record is from RNAcentral.
AAAUUGAAGAGUUUGAUCAUGGCUCAGAUUGAACGCUGGCGGCAGGCCUAACACAUGCAAGUCGAACGGUAACAGGAAGCAGCUUGCUGCUUUGCUGACGAGUGGCGGACGGGUGAGUAAUGUCUGGGAAACUGCCUGAUGGAGGGGGAUAACUACUGGAAACGGUGGCUAAUACCGCAUAACGUCGCAAGACCAAAGAGGGGGACCUUCGGGCCUCUUGCCAUCAGAUGUGCCCAGAUGGGAUUAGCUAGUUGGUGAGGUAACGGCUCACCAAGGCGACGAUCCCUAGCUGGUCUGAGAGGAUGACCAGCCACACUGGAACUGAGACACGGUCCAGACUCCUACGGGAGGCAGCAGUGGGGAAUAUUGCACAAUGGGCGCAAGCCUGAUGCAGCCAUGCCGCGUGUAUGAAGAAGGCCUUCGGGUUGUAAAGUACUUUCAGCGGGGAGGAAGGUGUUGUGGUUAAUAACCACAGCAAUUGACGUUACCCGCAGAAGAAGCACCGGCUAACUCCGUGCCAGCAGCCGCGGUAAUACGGAGGGUGCAAGCGUUAAUCGGAAUUACUGGGCGUAAAGCGCACGCAGGCGGUCUGUCAAGUCGGAUGUGAAAUCCCCGGGCUCAACCUGGGAACUGCAUUCGAAACUGGCAGGCUUGAGUCUUGUAGAGGGGGGUAGAAUUCCAGGUGUAGCGGUGAAAUGCGUAGAGAUCUGGAGGAAUACCGGUGGCGAAGGCGGCCCCCUGGACAAAGACUGACGCUCAGGUGCGAAAGCGUGGGGAGCAAACAGGAUUAGAUACCCUGGUAGUCCACGCCGUAAACGAUGUCUACUUGGAGGUUGUGCCCUUGAGGCGUGGCUUCCGGAGCUAACGCGUUAAGUAGACCGCCUGGGGAGUACGGCCGCAAGGUUAAAACUCAAAUGAAUUGACGGGGGCCCGCACAAGCGGUGGAGCAUGUGGUUUAAUUCGAUGCAACGCGAAGAACCUUACCUGGUCUUGACAUCCAC